CAAGACAUGAAGUUAGGUCAGCAAACCCGCUGAAUUUAAGCAUCUGUCG
This 49-nucleotide ribosomal RNA is filed under the name Karlodinium veneficum. Its description in RNAcentral is "partial large subunit ribosomal RNA". The record is from RNAcentral. Lineage: Eukaryota; Dinophyceae; Gymnodiniales; Kareniaceae.